Molecule: long non-coding RNA, 339 nt
Organism: Nanorana parkeri
Lineage: Eukaryota; Metazoa; Chordata; Amphibia; Anura; Dicroglossidae
Exons: 3
Source: RefSeq, a predicted model, not a curated record
UUUUCUGCUCAGGAUCCAUCUGUACAAAAUGCUCUUGAAUGUCUUCGGAACAGCAUCCCACAAGUGGACAGCCUGUAUACAAAGGCUCUCCUUGCUUAUGUAUUCACCUUGGCUGGAGACUAUGAGACCAGAGAAAUUCUUCUAGAGGAACUGCAUGGCCAAGCCGUGAAAACAGGAGGAGAAACUUAUUGGCCUGCAAAUCCAGAUAAUCUUGGCGAAAAGUCAACAUGGUCUGAGCCUAAUUCCAAUGAGGUGGAACUGGCAUCCUAUGUGGCCCUGGCACAUCUUUCUUCAGACACUGUUUCGGCAAAGGAUAUCAAUGAGGCUUCCUGUAUUUCU